Molecule: RNA transcript, 3028 nt
Organism: Acinonyx jubatus (cheetah)
Lineage: Eukaryota; Metazoa; Chordata; Mammalia; Carnivora; Felidae
Gene: HNRNPA2B1
Gene name: heterogeneous nuclear ribonucleoprotein A2/B1
Exons: 12
Source: RefSeq, a predicted model, not a curated record
GCGUUGGUCGGGGGGAAGGUUCUAGAAAAGCGGCGGCAGCGGCUCUAGCGGCAGUAGCAGCAGCGCCGGCUCCCGUGUGGAGGUGCUCUUAGCGGUGUUGUUUCUCGAGCAGCAGCAGCUCUCACUACAGCGCCAGGACGAGUCCGGUUCGUGUUCGUCCGCGGAGAUCUCUCUCAUCUCGCUCGGCUGCGGGAAAUCGGGCUGAGGCGACUGAGUCCGCGAUGGAGAGAGAAAAGGAACAGUUCCGUAAACUUUUUAUUGGUGGCUUGAGCUUUGAAACCACAGAAGAAAGUUUGAGGAACUACUACGAGCAAUGGGGGAAACUUACAGACUGUGUGGUCAUGAGAGAUCCUGCAAGCAAAAGAUCAAGAGGAUUUGGUUUUGUAACUUUUUCGUCCAUGGCUGAGGUUGACGCUGCCAUGGCUGCAAGACCUCAUUCAAUUGAUGGGAGAGUGGUUGAGCCAAAACGUGCUGUUGCAAGAGAGGAAUCUGGAAAGCCAGGGGCUCACGUAACUGUGAAGAAGCUGUUUGUUGGUGGAAUUAAAGAAGAUACUGAGGAACAUCAUCUUAGAGAUUACUUCGAAGAGUAUGGAAAGAUUGAUACCAUUGAGAUAAUUACUGAUAGGCAGUCUGGAAAGAAAAGAGGCUUUGGAUUUGUUACCUUUGAUGAUCAUGAUCCCGUGGAUAAGAUUGUGUUGCAGAAAUAUCAUACCAUCAAUGGUCAUAAUGCAGAAGUAAGAAAGGCUCUGUCUAGACAAGAAAUGCAGGAAGUCCAGAGUUCUAGAAGUGGAAGAGGAGGCAACUUCGGUUUUGGAGAUUCUCGUGGUGGUGGUGGAAAUUUUGGACCAGGCCCGGGAAGUAACUUUAGAGGAGGAUCUGAUGGAUAUGGAAGUGGUCGCGGAUUUGGGGAUGGCUAUAAUGGGUAUGGAGGAGGACCUGGAGGUGGCAAUUUUGGAGGUAGCCCUGGUUAUGGAGGAGGAAGAGGAGGAUAUGGUGGUGGAGGACCUGGAUAUGGCAACCAGGGUGGGGGCUACGGAGGUGGUUAUGACAACUAUGGAGGAGGAAAUUACGGAAGUGGAAAUUACAAUGAUUUUGGAAAUUAUAACCAGCAACCUUCUAACUAUGGUCCAAUGAAGAGUGGAAACUUUGGUGGUAGCAGGAACAUGGGGGGACCAUAUGGUGGAGGAAACUAUGGUCCUGGAGGCAGUGGAGGAAGUGGGGGUUAUGGAGGGAGAAGCCGAUAUUGAGCUUCUUCCUAUUUGCCAUGGGUAAGUAGCUUUUGAGUUUUACCUUAUUAUUGUCUUGGGAGAUCUAGCUGCCAGGAGUAAAAGCUUUUUAGGAUCAUGUUAUCUUUCCUUAAAAUCUGGUUAGAUGGAUAAUUUCAUAACCUAUUUUUUUUUUACUCUUUACUUCUGUUGAAACAGGCUUCACUGUAUAAAUAGGAGAGGAUGAGAGCCCAGAGGUAACAGAACAGCUUCAGGUUAUCGAAAUAACAAUGUUAAGGAAACUCUUAUCUCAGUCAUGCAUAAAUAUGCAGUGAUAUGGCAGAAGACACCAGAGCAGAUGCAGAGAGCCAUUUUGUGAAUGGAUUGGAUUAUUUAAUAACAUUACCUUACUGUGGAGGAAGGAUUGUAAAAAAAAAAAUGCCUUUGAGACAGUUUCUUAGCUUUUUAAUUGUUGUUUCUUUCUAGUGGUCUUUGUAAGAGUGUAGAAGCAUUCCUUCUUUGAUAAUGUUAAAUUUGUAAGUUUCAGGUGACAUGUGAAACCUUUUUUAAGAUUUUUCUCAAAGUUUUGAAAAGCUAUUAGCCAGGAUCAUGGUGUAAUAAGACAUAACGUUUUUCCUUUAAAAAAAUUUAAGUGCGUGUGUAGAGUUAAGAAGCUGUUGUACAUUUAUGAUUUAAUAAAAUAAUUCUAAAGGAAAUUGUGUAAUUAUAGACUUUUUAUUUUAAAUAAGUUAAGGAGUGGGUAGUAUAAUUAAGGUCCUUUGCAAAGUUGUUGUUAUAUUUGUGUAAGAUAAAUGCUGGUCAGAUAUAAGUGUGUUGUCUGCAAUUCAUCAGGAUUAAAUUAUCUAGAUAACUUAAGGGAUAUCUCUGCAAAGAGAAACACCUUUUUAGAUCUUUUAGAUGCUGCUUCUUCAAUGCAAGGAAAGGAAAUAACCCCAGCGAGGUACUCUUCAGGGAUACAGGUCUAGUACAAGAGAACUCUUGACGGCUACUAAGUUCAGCCAGUCUUAAAAAACUGUGCUGUUUCUACAAAGCUUUAACUACAGUAGUUUAUAAGGAUGACAACGAAAGCUGAGGGUGUAGAGCAAAAUAGUUCUAAGCUUCAGUUAAACUUCUUUAGCAUUGAUAUGAACCAUGGACAAGUAUAUUCUGCUGCCACAAAGACUGUAAAGUGCUUCAUUUCAACAGCUGAGGCGCAAGCCAAGUGAUCAUUAAUAAAGCUUUUCUUGGUUCCUUCAGUGGUGUUGGUAGUAAAAUGGAAGGUGUCUUGCUGCAGGUAACUAAUGAAGAAGUGGUCAACCACAGAGUCUUCAAGAAAUAAGAAAUACUGUACCAUCUGAAAGUAGUUCUUGUUGGUGCCUUCAUUUAAAAAAAAAAAAAGCACUUUAAGAUUAAAGGGAAAUGUUUUCUGAUAAAAUACAUCAUUUAGUACAGGUUCUUAAUAUAAAACCAUUACAAAUUGAGUACUGUUUGUAAAAGAGUAACAUGAAGUAAGCUAGAGAGAGAAAUGUAUCAUGUUUUAAAUUAGGUUUUGUGAGUAGACAGAUUAAAAUUCUAUUUUAAAUAUAAAGUUUAUAAAAUAAACACUUUUGUAUUCAAAUACUUGGUGUAAUGUUUACACAUAAAAUGUGUGAAUCUUGUUCUAUCAACUUACAGUUGUCUAAAAGAUUGCCAUCCCCUAGAGUUUUAAAGCAGUUUCACAAAGCUAUGCAUAUUGCCAUUUUUAUUUCAAUAUUGAUAGUCAAGAAAAGCAUUGUGGACAUUAUUGGCUGUCCCUAAUAAAAUGCCAUUCUUUUUAUACUGUA